Molecule: ribosomal RNA, 253 nt
Filed under: uncultured bacterium
Lineage: Bacteria
Description: partial 16S ribosomal RNA
Rfam family: Bacterial small subunit ribosomal RNA
Source: RNAcentral
UACGGAGGGUGCAAGCGUUAUCCGGAUUCGCUGGGGUUAAAGGGUGCGUAGGCGGGUUGGUAAGUCCGUGGUGAAAUCCCCAAGCUUAACUUGGGAACUGCCGUGGAUACUAUCAAUCUUGAAUAUCGUGGAGGUAAGCGGAAUAUGUCAUGUAGCGGUGAAAUGCUUAGAUAUGACAUAGAACACCAAUUGCGUAGGCAGCUUACUACACGAUCAUUGACGCUGAGGCACGAAAGCGUGGGGAGCAAACAGG